UAGGGAAUCUUCCGCAAUGGACGCAAGUCUGACGGAGCAACGCCGCGUGAGUGAAGAAGGAUUUCGGUUCGUAAAACUCUGUUGUUAGAGAAGAACAGCGCAUAGAGUAACUGUUAUGCGUGUGACGGUAUCUAACCAGAAAGCCACGGCUAACUACGUGCCAGCAGCCGCGGUAAUACGUAGGUGGCAAGCGUUGUCCGGAUUUAUUGGGCGUAAAGCGAGCGCAGGCGGUCAAUUAAGUCUGAUGUGAAAGCCCCCGGCUCAACCGGGGAGGGUCAUUGGAAACUGGUUGACUUGAGUGCAGAAGAGGGGAGUGGAAUUCCAUGUGUAGCGGUGAAAUGCGUAGAUAUUAGGAGGAAUACCGGUGGCGAAGGCGACUUUCUGGCCAUAACCUGACGCUGAGGUACGAAAGCGUGGGGAGCGAACAGG
RNAcentral lists this ribosomal RNA (429 nucleotides) under Bacteroidota bacterium. Its description in RNAcentral is "Bacteroidetes bacterium partial 16S ribosomal RNA". It matches the Rfam family "Bacterial small subunit ribosomal RNA", at positions 355 to 776 of the family's 1533-position model. The record is from RNAcentral. Lineage: Bacteria; Pseudomonadati; Bacteroidota.